This 484-nucleotide ribosomal RNA is filed under the name uncultured bacterium. RNAcentral describes it as "partial 16S ribosomal RNA". It matches the Rfam family "Bacterial small subunit ribosomal RNA", at positions 30 to 507 of the family's 1533-position model. The record is from RNAcentral.
AUUGAACGCUGGCGGCAGGCCUAACACAUGCAAGUCGAGCGGAUGAAGGGAGCUUGCUCCUGGAUUCAGCGGCGGACGGGUGAGUAAUGCCUAGGAAUCUGCCUGGUAGCGGGGGAUAACGUCCGGAAACGGGCGCUAAUACCGCAUACGUCCUGAGGGAGAAAGUGGGGGAUCUUCGGACCUCACGCUAUCAGAUGAGCCUAGGUCGGAUUAGCUAGUUGGUGGGGUAAAGGCCUACCAAGGCGACGAUCCGUAACUGGUCUGAGAGGAUGAUCAGUCACACUGGAACUGAGACACGGUCCAGACUCCUACGGGAGGCAGCAGUGGGGAAUAUUGGGCAAUGGGCGAAAGCCUGAUCCAGCCAUGCCGCGUGUGUGAAGAAGGUCUUCGGAUUGUAAAGCACUUUAAGUUGGGAGGAAGGGCAGUAAGUUAAUACCUUGCUGUUUUGACGUUACCAACAGAAUAAGCACCGGCUAACUUCGUG